RNAcentral lists this long non-coding RNA (846 nucleotides) under Ananas comosus (pineapple). Its description in RNAcentral is "long non-coding RNA (ACOM_LNC017752)". Lineage: Eukaryota; Viridiplantae; Streptophyta; Magnoliopsida; Poales; Bromeliaceae. The record is from RNAcentral.
GAGGCUUCUACAAUAUCUAUAGUACCGGACCUCCCUUAGUGUACUCUUGUUUUCGAUUUUAGGAUAUUCAAAUCAACAAUCCACCCCAUUAAAACUGAUUUAGGUUAUUUAAAGUUUUUUAAAAUAAAAUUUUAUAUUUUCGACAUAAUUUACUUUAUGAUCAAACCAUUUCAAACUUGUCAAUUUUCAAUAGUUAUUAAUAAUGAGUUUGUAGUUUAAUAGUGUACAGGAAUCUAAAUUUAUUCAAAUUUUGAUAGAAUAUACUUUAAACUAUUUAGAUAGGUCAGUGUCCUUGAUCUUGAAUUCAAAAGUCCCAUUCUCAAAUUUUAAAGAUUAUUCAAUUUUCACUCUUCAUUUUGACAUGAUUUACUUACUAAUUAAACGACAUCGAAAAAAAUUAAAAUUUUAUUCCUUAUAACUUCAUGUACACUAGAUCAUAUNUUGUUUUCGAUCUUAAGGUGUUCAAAUUAACGAUCCACACCGUUAAAUACGAUUUAGGGUAUAUGAAAUUCUUAGAAAUAAAAUUUUAAUUUUUUUCGACAUUGUUUACUUAGUAAAUAAAUUAUGUCAAAAUGGACGGUGAAAAUUGAAUAAUCUUUAAAAUUUGAGCAUAAGACUUUUAAAUUCAAGAUCAAGAAUGUUAACCUUAAUCUAUAUAGUUUAAAGUAUUUUCUAUCAAACUUUGAAGAAACUUAGAUUUUUCUACGCCGUUAAACUUCAAACUCGCCAUAGUAGCCAUUGAAAAUUGACAAUUUUGAAAUGGUUUGAUCAUAAAGUAAACUAUGUCGAAAAAAUAUAAAAUUUUAUUUCAAAAAACUUUAAAUACCCUAAAUCAGUUUUAACAAU